UACCAUGCUGAAUAUACCGGUUCUCGUUAGAUCACCGAAGUCAAGCAUCAUUGGGCGCGGUCAGUACUUGGGUGGGUGACCACCUGGGAACACCGCGUGCUGUU
This 104-nucleotide ribosomal RNA is filed under the name Caerostris extrusa. The record is from RNAcentral. Lineage: Eukaryota; Metazoa; Arthropoda; Arachnida; Araneae; Araneidae.